Molecule: ribosomal RNA, 550 nt
Filed under: uncultured Glomeromycotina
Lineage: Eukaryota; Fungi; Glomeromycota
Description: SSU rRNA
Rfam family: Eukaryotic small subunit ribosomal RNA
Source: RNAcentral
UUGGAGGGCAAGUCUGGUGCCAGCAGCCGCGGUAAUUCCAGCUCCAAUAGCGUAUAUUAAAGUUGUUGCAGUUAAAAAGCUCGUAGUUGAAUUUCGGAAUCCAUCCGUCGGUCGGGCCUCACGGUCCGCACUGGUGUGAUGGAUUCCUACCUUCUGAAUAACCAGCAUGCCAUUAAUUUGGUGCGUUGGGGAAGCAGGACUGUUACCUUGAAAAAAUUAGAGUGCUUAAAGCAGGCUAGUGCCUGAAUACAUUAGCAUGGAAUAAUGAAAUAGGACGGCAUGGUUCUAUUUUGUUGGUUUCUAGGAUCACCGUAAUGAUUAAUAGGGAUAGUUGGGGCAUUAGUAUUCAAUUGUCAGAGGUGAAAUUCUUGGAUUUAUUGAAGACUAACUUCUGCGAAAGCAUUUGCCAAGGAUGUUUUCAUUAAUCAAGAACGAAAGUUAGGGGAUCGAAGACGAUCAGAUACCGUCGUAGUCUUAACCAUAAACUAUGCCGACUAGGGAUCGGACGAUGUUAAUUUUUUAAUGACUCGUUCGGCGCCUUACGGGAAAC